RNAcentral lists this long non-coding RNA (647 nucleotides) under Cricetulus griseus (Chinese hamster). RNAcentral's name for it is "lncRNA (ENSCGRG00015040949.1)". The record is from RNAcentral. Lineage: Eukaryota; Metazoa; Chordata; Mammalia; Rodentia; Cricetidae.
CUCACUGGUGAGGUUCCCGAAAACUGUGCAACACCAGCAGAGCCAAUGAGUGAUGGCCAGGGCCAUGGGGAUAUAGGUGCACCACCCACUGCUCUGUUUGCAGAAAUAAUUGUUGUGACCCAGCUAAGGCUGGGAAAGGGGGAAUGCAUGAGCAUGUUGGGACCAAGGCAUCAGAGCUGGGAGGACAGUUGUACAUUGUGUGGGAGCUUGGCAAGCCCCUCCAAAUGUCUGUCUUGACUCCUGCUGAAUGGACUUGCACACAGAAACUGGGUCCUGAGCUACGCUCUGCCUUGUGAUGGAAGGGACAGGCAUAUGCCAGCCUAGACCUCGGCCCUUGCCGGAUUGGAGUCCAAGGUGUGCAUAUCCAUCCAGAUGUGGUGCGUGACCUCAGGGUCUGUGACAGAAGCUCUGGCAUCCUCACUUUGCUGGAAUGGGUCACAGGCUAUGGGAGAGCCUGUCAGGCGGUGUCUAUGGAUUUGUAUGAGGCGCUGAGGGACUCAAGGCUGUCGUCUCUAAUACCUUGAUGUAAUACCAGGUAUCCCCAGGAGCUUCUUUGGGAAGGGAAAGAUCUAGAACCCACCUCAGCUGAGCUGGUGUGCAGUCUGCAUGACCACUGCCCUUUCUGCUCAUCCCAGUAGGAAAUGGUG